UCGUGCUAAGCGGGGAGGUAGCGGUGCCCUAUACUCGCAAUCCGCUAUAGCGAGGCCGAAUUCCCACCCGAGGUGGCAAGGUCUCAAGGCCUGCCUCAUGUGAGUGGUGUUGACAUUCAGGUCCUGCGCAACGAGAACCAGUGAACCCUGUCAGGUCCGGAAGGAAGCAGCAGUAAGCUGAUCAUCUCGUGUGCCGCGGGAGUGCCUGGAUAGAGCCACAACCAUGAGUAACGCUUGGGGCCUCGCCAUCGAAGGUGGGUGCACGG
Non-coding RNA from Halobacillus halophilus DSM 2266, 266 nucleotides. It matches the Rfam family "Bacterial large signal recognition particle RNA". From Rfam's summary of the family: The signal recognition particle (SRP) is a universally conserved ribonucleoprotein involved in the co-translational targeting of proteins to membranes. Archaeal SRP consists of a 7S RNA and homologues of the eukaryotic SRP19 and SRP54 proteins. In most bacteria, the SRP consists of a 4.5S RNA and the Ffh protein (a homologue of the eukaryotic SRP54 protein). Lineage: Bacteria; Bacillati; Bacillota; Bacilli; Caryophanales; Bacillaceae. The record is from Rfam.